CUUUACUGUAGCUUUACAUUGGACUUUGAACAGAUCUGUGUAGGAUAGGUGGGAGGCUUUGAAGCAGUGCCGCUAGGUGCUGUGGAGCCAACGUUGAAAUACCACCCUGGUGUGUUUGAGGUUCUAACCUUGGCCCGUUAUCCGGGUUGGGGACAGUGUAUGGUGGGCAGUUUGACUGGGGCGGUCUCCUCCCAAAGUGUAACGGAGGAGUUCGAAGGUACGCUAGGCACGGUCGGAAAUCGUGCUGAUAGUGCAUAGGCAUAAGCGUGCUUGACUGCGAGACUGACAAGUCGAGCAGGUACGAAAGUAGGACUAAGUGAUCCGGUGGUUCUGUAUGGAAGGGCCAUCGCUCAACGGAUAAAAGUUA
RNAcentral lists this ribosomal RNA (367 nucleotides) under uncultured organism. Its description in RNAcentral is "bacterial LSU rRNA". It matches the Rfam family "Bacterial large subunit ribosomal RNA", at positions 2099 to 2465 of the family's 2925-position model. The record is from RNAcentral.